RNAcentral lists this ribosomal RNA (465 nucleotides) under uncultured Azonexus sp. Its description in RNAcentral is "bacterial SSU rRNA". It matches the Rfam family "Bacterial small subunit ribosomal RNA", at positions 338 to 795 of the family's 1533-position model. The record is from RNAcentral. Lineage: Bacteria; Pseudomonadati; Pseudomonadota; Betaproteobacteria; Rhodocyclales; Azonexaceae.
CCUACGGGAGGCUGCAGUGGGGAAUUUUGGACAAUGGGCGCAAGCCUGAUCCAGCCAUGCCGCGUGAGUGAAGAAGGCCUUCGGGUUGUAAAGCUCUUUCGGCCGGGAAGAAAUCGGGGUGGCUAAUAUCUGCUCUGGAUGACGGUACCGGAAUAAGAAGCACCGGCUAACUACGUGCCAGCAGCCGCGGUAAUACGUAGGGUGCGAGCGUUAAUCGGAAUUACUGGGCGUAAAGCGUGCGCAGGCGGUUUUUUAAGAUAGGCGUGAAAUCCCCGGGCUCAACCUGGGAACUGCGCUUAUGACUGGAAGACUAGAGUACGGCAGAGGGGGGUGGAAUUCCACGUGUAGCAGUGAAAUGCGUAGAGAUGUGGAGGAACACCGAUGGCGAAGGCAGCCCCCUGGGCCGAUACUGACGCUCAUGCACGAAAGCGUGGGGAGCAAACAGGAUUAGAUACCCGAGUAGUC